AACGAACGCUGGCGGCAGGCCUAACACAUGCAAGUCGAACGCGUCCUUCGGGACGAGUGGCAGACGGGUGAGUAACGCGUGGGAACGUGGCCCAAGGUUCGGAAUAACUCGGGGAAACUCGAGCUAAUACCGAAUGUGCCCUUCGGGGGAAAGAUUUAUCGCCUUGGGAUCGGCCCGCGUAGGAUUAGCUUGUUGGUGAGGUAACGGCUCACCAAGGCUACGAUCUUUAGCUGGUCUGAGAGGACGACCAGCCACACUGGAACUGAGACACGGUCCAGACUCCUACGGGAGGCAGCAGUGGGGAAUCUUGGACAAUGGGCGCAAGCCUGAUCCAGCCAUGCCGCGUGGGUGAAGAAGGCCUUAGGGUUGUAAAGCCCUUUCGGUGGUGAAGAUAAUGACGGUAACCACUAAAGAAGCCCCGGCUAACUUCGUGCCAGCAGCCGCGGUAAUACGAAGGGGGCUAGCGUUGUUCGGAAUUACUGGGCGUAAAGCGCGCGUAGGCGGACAGGUCAGUCAGAGGUGAAAUCCCG
Molecule: ribosomal RNA, 530 nt
Filed under: uncultured Pseudomonadota bacterium
Lineage: Bacteria; Pseudomonadati; Pseudomonadota
Description: bacterial SSU rRNA
Rfam family: Bacterial small subunit ribosomal RNA
Source: RNAcentral